RNAcentral lists this signal recognition particle RNA (299 nucleotides) under Cebus imitator (Panamanian white-faced capuchin). RNAcentral describes it as "Metazoan signal recognition particle RNA (ENSCCAG00000012977.1)". It matches the Rfam family "Metazoan signal recognition particle RNA". From Rfam's summary of the family: The signal recognition particle (SRP) is a universally conserved ribonucleoprotein. It is involved in the co-translational targeting of proteins to membranes. The eukaryotic SRP consists of a 300-nucleotide 7S RNA and six proteins: SRPs 72, 68, 54, 19, 14, and 9. Lineage: Eukaryota; Metazoa; Chordata; Mammalia; Primates; Cebidae. The record is from RNAcentral.
GCCGGGUGUGGUGGCGUGUGCCUAUAGUCCCAGCUACUUGUGAGGCUGAGGAGGGAGGAUCUCUUGAGUCCAGGAGUUCUGGGCUGUAGUGCGCUAUGCCGAUCGGGGGUCCGCACUAAGUCUGGCAUCAAUAUGGUGACCUCCUGGGAGCGGGGUCCCACCAGGUUGCCUAAGGAGGGGUGAACUGGCCCAGGUCGGAAACCGAGCAGGUCAAAACUCCCGUGCUGAUCAGUAGUGGGAUCACACCUGUGAAUAGCCACUGCACUCCAGCCUGGGCAACAUAGUGAGACCUCGUCUCU